Long non-coding RNA from Physeter macrocephalus (sperm whale), 1667 nucleotides. RefSeq lists it as uncharacterized. Lineage: Eukaryota; Metazoa; Chordata; Mammalia; Artiodactyla; Physeteridae. The transcript has 4 exons. The record is from RefSeq and is a predicted model, not a curated record.
ACAGGGCCUGGCAUGCAGAGGGUGCUGAAGUUUGCUGGUUGACUGAAUGGACUGAGACCACGGAACUCUGAAAGACGGAACGAUUAGACUUGCAUCAUCUGACGACGAAGCAAAGGAGCUGACGUUCAUGAAGCGCUUGUUGGAUGCUGGGCACACGCUUCUAGGCUCUGAAGAACGAAAUGGCUCUAAGGGUUGUAGGUUCUAAAGAUGACGGUUCCAAAGACACUUGACUGAAAGUGACUGUCACUGAGCCCCGCUGAUGUGCCCCUGCUGUGAUGAAAGGCACUGAGAGAUGGGAUCGGAAAACGCAAUGAAACAAUCUUCAUGCUUGAUCAGUCAGAGAGGAUCUUCAGCCCUGCCCCUCAUCUCCACCUUCCGAACCCAGGAAAAGUCCACUGGUGAGAAUCCAGCUCUGGACGUGCGCUGACCAGAUGGGGUCGCAGCCCUGCCACAUCCCAGCAGGGUGACUGUGACUAAAUCUCUUAACCUGUCCAGGCUUCAGCUUCUCCAUCCGCACAUUGGGAGACAUAACUCACAGACUUGUCCUGACGAUUAAAGGAGAUAAUUCAAGCUCUUAGUAUAGUGCCCGGCCCCAAGAAAAAAUACACCAAAAGUUGAGUAUUAUUAUUUUUGCUACUGUAUCUAGUCCUUUCUUAUUUCCCAGAAACGUCAGGUCAAUUCACAUUGCAGUGAAAGACAAGAAGAAAAGUCGACCCCUUUCCGAGGCCUGUGGCCCUGAUGAUAAAACAAUGCCAGUUACGAUUUUCAGAGCCUCAGCUACACAGCAUGGGCCACUCGUUGCCAUGUGAACCUGACCCACCAGAUAAGGCAGUCAAGCGGGACCUGUAACUGAGCUGUGUGUGAAUAUGCUGCCGUGGGGUGUGCUGUUACUCGGGGACAGGCCUAACUACUGCCACAUCCACUGUGCCACAGGUCCUGUGGGGGUGGCACCAAUGAUCUAGAUAGACGCCUGCACACAGUGGACUGUGGUAUGGGAGAGGACGCUAAACUUAAGAACGCAAGUCUUUUCUAAUGACUGCCCUUUGCACUGGAGGGAGAUUCUGUCUCGGUCUUCCAUGGCUAGUCACUGUACCAAUAUCCUUGGGAAGAGAGUCCAGGACAAAGGCAGUCAGUUGCCUCGCUUGCAAAAUGCACAGAACCUCAAGAGAUCCCUGGAGAAUUGUCUUACAGUAAUAUCCACCCCUCAUUUCUACACUGUCUUGGCUUUGGGCGAAUUUUCCCGUGAGUUCACCACUCUGUUGGCAAAUCUGAUCGACAGAGGCUAGGACCCAAUCUGUUCAAUUUGUGUCAUCAGCACUUAAUUAAAGCUGCUACCAACAGAACGACGAACAGCAAGAUGAAGCCAGCUUGCAGUACUGCCCUCAACCAUGCCUCCCAGAUGAGCAAGUCCAUAAAGCAUCACAUCUACCUCAGAAAGCCAGGUGGCUCGCUCCUUAAUUCUCCGCAUCAACCUUUCCACCUUGGCCCAGAAGGCAUUCAGGAGAGCCUCAGUUCACUGACCAAGGUUGCUAUGGAUGAUAGAUUUCUUCUGUACUUCUUCCUUGCAGGCUAGAGUCUGUGCAAUCAGUAUAGCUGCUGCACCUGGGUUAAUGCUGCCAGCCAUGAGUAAGAAGGUCCUUUUUCUCUGACCCAGGAGUCUCCUGUCU